UUUCCUACGGGGGGCAGCAGUGAGGAAUAUUGGUCAAUGGCCGGAAGGCUGAACCAGCCAAGCCGCGUGAAGGACGAAGGUGCCAAGCAUUGUAAACUUCUUUUGUCAAGGGACAAAAUCAGGCUCGAGAGCCUGACCGAGGGUACUUGAAGAAAAAGCAUCGGCUAACUCCGUGCCAGCAGCCGCGGUAAUACGGAGGAUGCGAGCGUUAUCCGGAUUUAUUGGGUUUAAAGGGUGCGUAGGCGGUCCGUUAAGUCAGCGGUAAAAUUGCGGGGCUCAACCCCGUCGAGCCGUUGAAACUGGCA
Molecule: ribosomal RNA, 305 nt
Filed under: uncultured bacterium
Lineage: Bacteria
Description: bacterial SSU rRNA
Rfam family: Bacterial small subunit ribosomal RNA
Source: RNAcentral